Molecule: ribosomal RNA, 537 nt
Filed under: Micromonospora sp. enrichment culture clone SEQ52_11AClone_AER
Lineage: Bacteria; Bacillati; Actinomycetota; Actinomycetes; Micromonosporales; Micromonosporaceae
Description: bacterial SSU rRNA
Rfam family: Bacterial small subunit ribosomal RNA
Source: RNAcentral
GUGAGCAACCUGCCCCAGGCUUUGGGAUAACCCCGGGAAACCGGGGCUAAUACCGAAUAUGACCUCCGAUCGCAUGGUUGGUGGUGGAAAGUUUUUCGGCUUGGGAUGGGCUCGCGGCCUAUCAGCUUGUUGGUGGGGUGAUGGCCUACCAAGUCGACGACGGGUAGCCGGCCUGAGAGGGCGACCGGCCACACUGGGACUGAGACACGGCCCAGACUCCUACGGGAGGCAGCAGUGGGGAAUAUUGCACAAUGGGCGGAAGCCUGAUGCAGCGACGCCGCGUGAGGGAUGACGGCCUUCGGGUUGUAAACCUCUUUCAGCAGGGACGAAGCGUAAGUGACGGUACCUGCAGAAGACGCGCCGGCCAACUACGUGCCAGCAGCCGCGGUAAGACGUAGGGCGCGAGCGUUGUCCGGAUUUAUUGGGCGUAAAGAGCUCGUAGGCGGCUUGUCGCGUCGACUGUGAAAACCCGCAGCUCAACUGCGGGCCUGCAGUCGAUACGGGCAGGCUAGAGUUCCUUUCGGCCGGUUAUCCCCU